Molecule: ribosomal RNA, 164 nt
Filed under: uncultured bacterium
Lineage: Bacteria
Description: partial 16S rRNA
Rfam family: Bacterial small subunit ribosomal RNA
Source: RNAcentral
UAGGGAAUCUUCCACAAUGGACGAAAGUCUGAUGGAGCAACGCCGCGUGAGUGAAGAAGGGUUUCGGCUCGUAAAACACUGUUGUAAGAGAAGAAUGACAUUGAGAGUAACUGUUCAAUGUGUGACGGUAUCUUACCAGAAAGGAACGGCUAAAUACGUGCCAC